AUGACUUGGCCCAUGCCAACAAGGUCACCACCGUCCGCUUGUACUGAUGGGAGGAAUACCAAGAUUUCCCAAAGGGUGCAACCCUCCUCAACGACUUGGCAUCGUUCCCCACGAAGGCGACACAUGACCUCACACAAUGUGACGAGAUGGUCCUUGUGCCUACAGACGACACGGGAGAUCCAUGCAUAUAUAGCACGGUUAGGGCCCAACAACAAAAUACUUGAGAUGUGGAUGUGCAGCGACAUCGACGAUGCCAACCAUCCACAAUGGGAUCGCUGCUACACUGUGAUUGUCUCGAGCAACUAG
This 306-nucleotide ribosomal RNA is filed under the name Triticum aestivum (bread wheat). RNAcentral describes it as "partial small subunit ribosomal RNA". Lineage: Eukaryota; Viridiplantae; Streptophyta; Magnoliopsida; Poales; Poaceae. The record is from RNAcentral.